UACGGAGGGUGCGAGCGUUGUCCGGAAUCAUUGGGCGUAAAGGGUGCGUAGGCGGCGCGGUAAGUCGGGUGUGAAAUCUCGGGGCUUAACUCCGAAACUGCAUUCGAUACUGCCGUGCUUGAGGACUGGAGAGGAGACUGGAAUUUACGGUGUAGCGGUGAAAUGCGUAGAUAUCGGGAGGAACAUCAGUGGCGAAGGCGGCCUUCUGGUCCAGUACUGACACUCAAGUGCGAAAGCGUGGGGAGCAAACAGG
RNAcentral lists this ribosomal RNA (253 nucleotides) under uncultured bacterium. Its description in RNAcentral is "partial 16S ribosomal RNA". It matches the Rfam family "Bacterial small subunit ribosomal RNA", at positions 524 to 776 of the family's 1533-position model. The record is from RNAcentral.